UGAGCUGAUUUCUUCCUAGGUGAAGCUU
Molecule: non-coding RNA, 28 nt
Filed under: Rattus norvegicus (Norway rat)
Lineage: Eukaryota; Metazoa; Chordata; Mammalia; Rodentia; Muridae
Source: RNAcentral